This 253-nucleotide ribosomal RNA is filed under the name uncultured bacterium. Its description in RNAcentral is "partial 16S ribosomal RNA". It matches the Rfam family "Bacterial small subunit ribosomal RNA", at positions 524 to 776 of the family's 1533-position model. The record is from RNAcentral.
UACGUAGGGUCCGAGCGUUAAUCGGAAUGACUGGGCGUAAAGGGCGCGUAGGUGGAUAUGUGUGUUGGAUGUGAAAGCCCCGGGCUUAACCUGGGAAUGGCAUACAAAACUGCAUAUCUAGAGUGGAGCAGAGGUGAGUGGAAUUUCCGGAGUAGCGGUGAAAUGCGUAGAUACCGGAAGGAACACCAGUGGCGAAGGCGACUCACUGGGCUCGAACUGACACUGAGGCGCGAAAGCGUGGGGAGCAAACAGG